RNAcentral lists this ribosomal RNA (700 nucleotides) under uncultured bacterium. RNAcentral's name for it is "bacterial SSU rRNA". It matches the Rfam family "Bacterial small subunit ribosomal RNA", at positions 676 to 1396 of the family's 1533-position model. The record is from RNAcentral.
UAGUGGUGAAAUGCGUAGAGAUCCGGAGGAAUACCAGAGGCGAAGGCGACAUCCUGGGGUUGAAUUGACACUGAGACGCGAAAGCGUGGGUAGCGAACGGGAUUAGAAACCCCGGUAGUCCACGCCGUAAACGAUGCACACUAGAUGUCCGACGUAGGUUGGGUGUCGAAGCCAACGCGAUAAGUGUGCCGCCUGGGGAGUACGGUCGCAAGGCUAAAACUCAAAGGAAUUGACGGGGGCCCGCACAAGCAGCGGAGCGUGUGGUUUAAUUCGAGGCUACGCGAAGAACCUUACCUAGGCUUGAUGCAAGUGGUACGGAGAUGAAAGUCGAAGGACCCUUCGGGGAGCUUGAACAGGUGCUGCAUGGUUGUCGUCAGCUCGUGCCGUGAGGUGUUCGGUUAAGUCCGCAAACGAGCGCAACCCACGUCGUUAGUUACAAGUGUCUAACGAGACAGCCCGUGACAAACGGGAGGAAGGUGUGGAUGACGUCAAAUCAGCAUGGCCUUUAUGUCUAGGGCUACACACACGCUACAAUGGUCAGUACAGUGGGUGGCGAAGCCGCGAGGUGGAGCGAAUCCUGAAAAGUUGAUCGUAGUUCGGAUUGUAGGCUGCAACUCGCCUGCAUGAAGUUGGAGUUGCUAGUAAACGCGUAUCAGCACGGCGCGUUGAAUACGUUCCCGGGCCUUGUACACACCGCCCA